Molecule: ribosomal RNA, 211 nt
Filed under: Fusarium sp. 'isolate c8'
Lineage: Eukaryota; Fungi; Ascomycota; Sordariomycetes; Hypocreales; Nectriaceae
Description: partial 28S rRNA
Source: RNAcentral
GACCAGACUUGGGCUUGGUUAAUCAUCUGGGGUUCUCCCCAGUGCACUUUUCCAGUCCAGGCCAGCAUCAGUUUUCCCCGGGGGAUAAAGACUUCGGGAAUGUGGCUCUCUUCGGGGAGUGUUAUAGCCCGUUGUGUAAUACCCUGGGGGGGACUGAGGUUCGCGCAUCUGCAAGGAUGCUGGCGUAAUGGUCAUCAACGACCCGUCUUGA